RNAcentral lists this ribosomal RNA (495 nucleotides) under uncultured bacterium. Its description in RNAcentral is "partial 16S ribosomal RNA". It matches the Rfam family "Bacterial small subunit ribosomal RNA", at positions 28 to 507 of the family's 1533-position model. The record is from RNAcentral.
GACGAACGCUGGCGGCGUGCCUAAUACAUGCAAGUAGAACGCUGAAGGAGGAGCUUGCUUCUCUGGAUGAGUUGCGAACGGGUGAGUAACGCGUAGGUAACCUGCCUGGUAGCGGGGGAUAACUAUUGGAAACGAUAGCUAAUACCGCAUAAUAGCAGUUGUUGCAUGAUAACUGUUUGAAAGGUGCAAUUGCACCACUACCAGAUGGACCUGCGUUGUAUUAGCUAGUUGGUGGGGUAACGGCUCACCAAGGCGACGAUACAUAGCCGACCUGAGAGGGGGAUCGGCCACACUGGGACUGAGACACGGCCCAGACUCCUACGGGAGGCAGCAGUAGGGAAUCUUCGGCAAUGGACGGAAGUCUGACCGAGCAACGCCGCGUGAGUGAAGAAGGGUUUCGGAUCGUAAAGCUCUGUUGUAAGAGAAGAACGAGUGUGAGAGUGGAAAGUUCACACUGUGACGGUAUCUUACCAGAAAGGGACGGCUAACUACGUG